GACGAACGCUGGCGGCGUGCCUAAUACAUGCAAGUUGAACGCUUCUUUCUUAUCGAACUUCGGUUCACCAAGAAAGAGGAGUAGCGAACGGGUGAGUAACACGUGGGUAACCUGCCCAUCAGCGGGGGAUAACACUUGGAGAUAGGUGCUAAUACCGCAUAAUGCUUUUUCUCACAUGAGAGAAAGCUGAAAGGCGCUUUUGCGUCACUGAUGGAUGGACCCGCGGUGCAUUAGCUAGUUGGUAGGGUAACGGCCUACCAAGGCAACGAUGCAUAGCCGACCUGAGAGGGUGAUCGGCCACACUGGGACUGAGACACGGCCCAGACUCCUACGGGAGGCAGCAGUAGGGAAUCUUCGGCAAUGGACGAAAGUCUGACCGAGCAACGCCGCGUGAGUGAAGAAGGUUUUCGGAUCGUAAAACUCUGUUGUUAGAGAAGAACAAGGAUGAGAGGAGAAUGUUCAUCCCUUGA
Molecule: ribosomal RNA, 470 nt
Filed under: Enterococcus italicus
Lineage: Bacteria; Bacillati; Bacillota; Bacilli; Lactobacillales; Enterococcaceae
Description: bacterial SSU rRNA
Rfam family: Bacterial small subunit ribosomal RNA
Source: RNAcentral